UACGUAGGGUGCGAGCGUUAAUCGGAAUUACUGGGCGUAAAGCGUGCGCAGGCGGUUUCACAAGCUAGAUGUGAAAGCCCCGGGCUUAACCUGGGAACUACAUUUAGGACUGUGGAGCUAGAGUGCGGCAGAGGGAGGUGGAAUUCCACGUGUAGCAGUGAAAUGCGUAGAUAUGUGGAGGAACACCGAUGGCGAAGGCAGCCUCCUGGGCCGACACUGACGCUCAUGCACGAAAGCGUGGGGAGCAAACAGG
This 253-nucleotide ribosomal RNA is filed under the name uncultured bacterium. RNAcentral's name for it is "partial 16S ribosomal RNA". It matches the Rfam family "Bacterial small subunit ribosomal RNA", at positions 524 to 776 of the family's 1533-position model. The record is from RNAcentral.